Molecule: unclassified non-coding RNA, 240 nt
Filed under: soil metagenome
Description: partial contains 5.8S ribosomal RNA, internal transcribed spacer 2, and large subunit ribosomal RNA
Source: RNAcentral
AACCUAGCACACCUGCGGUGUGUACCUGCGGAGGGAUCAUUACUGAGUGUAAAAACUCCCAAACCCAUUGUGAACAUACCACUGUUGCUUCGGCGGAUACGCCCCGGGCGCGCUCUUCACAGGGCGUGCCCCGGAACCAGGCGCCCGCCGGGGGACCGAAACUCUUGUUUUCUUAGGAUCUCUGAGUGUGAUUAUUAAAUAAAUCAAAACUUUUAGCAAUGGAUCUCAGAUCGGAAGAGC